Synechococcus sp. KORDI-100 is the source of this 72-nucleotide transfer RNA. It matches the Rfam family "tRNA". Rfam says of the family: Transfer RNA (tRNA) molecules are approximately 80 nucleotides in length. Their secondary structure includes four short double-helical elements and three loops (D, anti-codon, and T loops). The record is from Rfam. Lineage: Bacteria; Bacillati; Cyanobacteriota; Cyanophyceae; Synechococcales; Synechococcaceae.
GCGGGUGUAAUUCAGCGGUAGAAUGUCAGCUUCCCAAGCUGGACGUCGCCGGUUCAAAUCCGGUCACCCGCU